GAUGAAGAACGUAGCGAAAUGCGAUAAGUAAUGUGAAUUGCAGAAUUCGGUGAAUCAUCGAAUCUUUGAACGCACAUUGCGCCCGCCAGUAUUCUGGCGGGCAUGCCUGUUCGAGCGUCAUUUCAACCAUCAAGCCCCAGGCUUGUGUUGGGGACCUGCGGCUGCCGCAGGCCCUGAAAACCAGUGGCGGGCUCGCUGUCACACCGGGCGUAGUAGAUUUUAUCUCGCUCAGGGCGUGCUGCGGGUUCCGGCCGUUAAAAAGCCUUUUUUACCCAAGGUUGACCUCGGAUCAGGUAGGAAUACCCGCUGAACUUAAGCAUAUCAAUAAGCGGAGGA
RNAcentral lists this unclassified non-coding RNA (336 nucleotides) under soil metagenome. RNAcentral's name for it is "partial contains 5.8S ribosomal RNA, internal transcribed spacer 2, and large subunit ribosomal RNA". The stretch from base 1 to 120 matches the Rfam family "5.8S ribosomal RNA", at positions 35 to 154 of the family's 154-position model. The record is from RNAcentral.